UACAGAGGGUGCUAGCGUUGUUCGGAAUUAUUGGGCGUAAAGGGCGUGUAGGCGGGAGCGUGUGUCAGAUGUGAAAUCCCUCGGCUUAACCGAGGAAGUGCAUUUGAAACUACGUUUCUUGAGUGCGAAAGAGGGAGAUGGAAUUCACAGUGUAGAGGUGAAAUUCGUAGAUACUGUGAGGAACACCGGUGGCGAAGGCGGUCUCCUGGUUCGUUACUGACGCUGAGACGCGAAAGCGUGGGGAGCAAACAGGAUUAGAUACCCUGGUAGUCCACGCUGUAAACGAUGAAUACUUGAUGUGGGAGGAAUUAACCCCUUCCGUGUCGUAGCUAACGCGGUAAGUAUUCCGCCUGGGAAGUACGGUCGCAAGAUUA
This 374-nucleotide ribosomal RNA is filed under the name uncultured bacterium. RNAcentral describes it as "bacterial SSU rRNA". It matches the Rfam family "Bacterial small subunit ribosomal RNA", at positions 524 to 896 of the family's 1533-position model. The record is from RNAcentral.